RNAcentral lists this ribosomal RNA (443 nucleotides) under Salmonella enterica subsp. enterica serovar Lubbock. Its description in RNAcentral is "bacterial SSU rRNA". It matches the Rfam family "Bacterial small subunit ribosomal RNA", at positions 338 to 795 of the family's 1533-position model. Lineage: Bacteria; Pseudomonadati; Pseudomonadota; Gammaproteobacteria; Enterobacterales; Enterobacteriaceae. The record is from RNAcentral.
CCUACGGGUGGCAGCAGUGGGGAAUAUUGGGCAAUGGGCGCAAGCCUGACCCAGCAACGCCGCGUGAGGGAAGAAGGUUUUCGGAUUGUAAACCUCUGUCCUAUGUGACGAAGGAAGUGACGGUACCUUAGGAGGAAGCCACGGCUAACUACGUGCCAGCAGCCGCGGUAAUACGUAGGUGGCGAGCGUUGUCCGGAAUUACUGGGCGUAAAGGGUGCGUAGGCGGUUUUGUAAGUUGGAUGUGAAAUACCCGGGCUUAACUUGGGGGCUGCAUCCAAUACUGCAGGACUUGAGUGCAGGAGAGGUAAGCGGAAUUCCUAGUGUAGCGGUGAAAUGCGUAGAUAUUAGGAGGAACACCAGUGGCGAAGGCGGCUUACUGGACUGUAACUGACGCUGAGGCUCGAAAGCGUGGGGAGCAAACAGGAUUAGAUACCCUAGUAGUC